This 180-nucleotide small nucleolar RNA is filed under the name Pogona vitticeps (central bearded dragon). Its description in RNAcentral is "Small nucleolar RNA SNORA81 (ENSPVIG00000010854.1)". It matches the Rfam family "Small nucleolar RNA SNORA81". The record is from Rfam by way of RNAcentral. Lineage: Eukaryota; Metazoa; Chordata; Lepidosauria; Squamata; Agamidae.
UACUUCUUGUACAAGCACUGUGCUAAAACUAUGGAAGUUGAGGUUGUACCUUGGCUUCUGUAAUAAUGCUAGCAUGGUACACACAAGAAGAAUAGGAAAUGCACUGGAUCGGUAAAAGGCUUGGGUUGGACCUCUUUCUUAAUGUCCAGUGUCCUAGUCUGGAGGCUUGGUGCAACACUA